Molecule: long non-coding RNA, 745 nt
Organism: Herpailurus yagouaroundi (jaguarundi)
Lineage: Eukaryota; Metazoa; Chordata; Mammalia; Carnivora; Felidae
Exons: 3
Source: RefSeq, a predicted model, not a curated record
GGGGUCUGAUGGGCAUGGCAGGCGCUCGCUCGCUCCUCUCUCGCUCCCUCGCUCGCUCCCUCACACACGCGCGGAGGGAGGCGAAGCCCGCAGCAGCCACUUCCCCACUUUCCAAACUUCCCAGCGCAACUUUUUCCUCUCCUCCCCUGCCCGUGCCUCCUCCUCCCCCAUCGCUCCCCCUUCCCCUGGCCCGCUCCCCGCCGGCCCUAGCUUCGGUGCGCGGCCGCCAGGGGGCGCCCGGGCCGAGGCCCCGCUCGGCCAAACUCUGUGGGAUCUUCUGUGGACAGGGACUAGGCUAGGGGACGAAUUCUGGGGACCUGGGCCAGCAUCGCCCAAAGCAUGUGAUGCGCAGGUCGCGGAGGGAGUUAACAGCGAAAGAAGCAGGAGUGGGCAGGCACUCCCAGACUGGCUGGGAAGGCAGCACUCAAAGGAAAUCCAGGGAACCUGGCCCCAAAUAACUGACGUUGGCCAUUUCGUAUGGUUCAACCAACUAGGAUCCAGAGCAGCCUCGGUCUCCGGCCAGCAUACGUCUGGCGACAGAUGCAGAGCAGGCCAGAGUGCCCGGAUGGUGUGAGACAACAGCGUGGCUCCGUGUUUCCCACCCACAGAGCUCUGAGACCACAGCGGUGACAAAAGAGAAGUCCUUUGAAGAGUCCCUGCUCCCCCUGGCUCCAAAGCUGCCUGCUGUGAAGGAGUAGAGAGAGACAGAGCACAAGUUGGGGAGGGGCCAAGAGAGAAGGAGACA